RNAcentral lists this ribosomal RNA (338 nucleotides) under Circaea environmental sample. RNAcentral's name for it is "eukaryotic LSU rRNA". The stretch from base 1 to 84 matches the Rfam family "5.8S ribosomal RNA", at positions 73 to 154 of the family's 154-position model. The record is from RNAcentral. Lineage: Eukaryota; Viridiplantae; Streptophyta; Magnoliopsida; Myrtales; Onagraceae.
UGCAGAAUCCCGUGAACCAUCGAGUCUUUGAACGCAAGUUGCGCCCUAAGCCUUUCGGCCGAGGGCACGUCUGCCUGGGCGUCAAUCAUCAAUUCGUCCCCCAACCCCCCGCUCCCCCACAGAAGGAGUGCGGAGCUUGGGUACGGAACUUGGCCUCCCGUGCUCUUGCAGCGCGGCUGGCCCAAAUGCGAGCAUCGGACUGAUGAUCUCCGAGGCACGCGGUGGUUGUUAACUCUUACCUCGUGACGUUGCCCGGAGCGUCUCCCAAACGGAGCUCAACGACCCUAGAUCACUAUCGAUGCGACCCCAGGUCAGGCGGGGCCACCCGCUGAAUUUAA